AGCACUUACACAGACUUAGAAAAAAAUGUAAGAACAUUAAUUCAAAAGGACUCACUGAAGAAUAAACAGAAUUUUCCAUGAUUUCCUUGAGGACAUACAUAACUCAUUCUUUAGGGAGGGUCCCUCAAAGUCCAACCAUUAGAAACCGUAUUCUCUAAUUGUGUACUAGCAACACACAAGCAUCUUUUUUUAAAAAAAUCCCCCAGUUGCCAAGAGAGUGAUCUUAAAGUAGAUGGGAACCUAAAGGUCUCUGAGUAAUAGCAAUUUAUGUUCCUCAAGUAGAAGAAUCAAUCAAUCUAAAUCCCAAUCAACAAAAUAGGUUCACUCUGUAUUAUGAUUUUAUAACAAGUUAAAGUUCUGAUUUUGCCACCAGAAUUACUACUACCUGUUCAGAGGACUCUAAAGCUCAAAAUAAGAAUUGAGCAUAAUGUGAAGUUGGUAAGUCUAAUUGCAUUAUAUAGAUUCAAGAUGACCUCUUCUAAAUAAUACUGAAAAAAGCACUCACCAACUACAAUUUGAAUGUGGCUUUUGUUGGCAGAAAAAACUCACACCCGAAAAUUAUAGGUAAUCUUCCCCACUUCCGUUACUAAAUGUUGUCUUAUGAACUGAUUUUAAAGGUCCUCCCCUUAGAGCUAAGUUUUCAGUUCUGAUACCUUUUGUAAAAAACUGCACG
Molecule: long non-coding RNA, 673 nt
Filed under: Bos taurus (domestic cattle)
Lineage: Eukaryota; Metazoa; Chordata; Mammalia; Artiodactyla; Bovidae
Description: long non-coding RNA NONBTAT000704
Source: RNAcentral